AUUGAACGCUGGCGGCAGGCCUAACACAUGCAAGUCGAACGGUAACAGGAAGAAGCUUUCUUCUUUGCUGACGAGUGGCGGACGGGUGAGUAAUGUCUGGGAAACUGCCUGAUGGAGGGGGAUAACUACUGGAAACGGUAGCUAAUACCGCAUAACGUCGCAAGACCAAAGAGGGGGACCUUCGGGCCUCUUGCCAUCGGAUGUGCCCAGAUGGGAUUAGCUAGUAGGUGGGGUAACGGCUCACCUAGGCGACGAUCCCUAGCUGGUCUGAGAGGAUGACCAGCCACACUGGAACUGAGACACGGUCCAGACUCCUACGGGAGGCAGCAGUGGGGAAUAUUGCACAAUGGGCGCAAGCCUGAUGCAGCCAUGCCGCGUGUAUGAAGAAGGCCUUCGGGUUGUAAAGUACUUUCAGCGGGGAGGAAGGGAGUAAAGUUAAUACCUUUGCUCAUUGACGUUACCCGCAGAAGAAGCACCGGCUAACUCCGUG
This 490-nucleotide ribosomal RNA is filed under the name uncultured bacterium. RNAcentral describes it as "partial 16S ribosomal RNA". It matches the Rfam family "Bacterial small subunit ribosomal RNA", at positions 30 to 507 of the family's 1533-position model. The record is from RNAcentral.